RNAcentral lists this unclassified non-coding RNA (284 nucleotides) under plant metagenome. RNAcentral describes it as "partial contains small subunit ribosomal RNA, internal transcribed spacer 1, and 5.8S ribosomal RNA". The stretch from base 1 to 53 matches the Rfam family "Eukaryotic small subunit ribosomal RNA", at positions 1778 to 1831 of the family's 1831-position model. The record is from RNAcentral.
GGAAGUAAAAUCGUAACAAGGUUUCCGUAGGUGAACCUGCGGAAGGAUCAUUAUUGUAUAACCGAGGUGCGAGGGCUGUCGCUGACCCGAAAGGUCGUGCACGCCCGAGUGCCCUCACACACAUCCAUCUCACCCCUAUGUGCACCACCGCGUGGGUCCCCCUUUGGCUUGUUCGGAGGGGGGCUUACGUUUUCACUCAAACUUUGUAUGCAGUGUAGAAUGUAUUUUUUGUUUUUGCGAUCACGCAAUCAAUACAACUUUCAACAACGGAUCUCUUGGCUCUC